UUAAGUUAAUAAAGGCGCACGGUGGAUGCCUUGGCACUAGAAGCCGAUGAAGGACGUGACUAACGACGAAAUGCUUUGGGGAGCUGUAAGUGAGCAAUGAUCCAGAGAUGUCCGAAUGGGGGAACCCGGCAGGUAAUGCCUGUCACUCAUUACUGUUAAGGUAAUGUAGAGGAAGACGCAGUGAACUGAAACAUCUAAGUAGCUGUAGGAAGAGAAAGCAAAAGCGAUUGCCUUAGUAGCGGCGAGCGAAACGGCAAGAGGGCAAACCGAAGAGUUUACUCUUCGGGGUUGUAGGACUGCAACGUGGACUUAAAGAUUAUAGAAGAACUACCUGGGAAGGUAGGCCAAAGAGAGUAAUAGCCUCGUAUUCGAAAUAGUCUUUAUACCUAGCAGUAUCCUGAGUACGGCGAGACACGAGAAAUCUCGUCGGAAUCUGGGAGGACCAUCUCCCAACCCUAAAUACUCUCUAGUGACCGAUAGUGAACCAGUACCGUGAGGGAAAGGUGAAAAGCACCCCGGGAGGGGAGUGAAAUAGAACCUGAAACCGUGUGCCUACAACAAGUUCGAGCCCGUUAAUGGGUGAGAGCGUGCCUUUUGUAGAAUGAACCGGCGAGUUACGAUAUGAUGCGAGGUUAAGUUGAAGAGACGGAGCCGUAGGGAAACCGAGUCUUAAUAGGGCGCAUUAGUAUCAUGUCGUAGACCCGAAACCAUGUGACCUACCCAUGAGCAGGUUGAAGGUGAGGUAAAACUCACUGGAGGACCGAACCAGGGCACGUUGAAAAGUGCUUGGAUGACUUGUGGGUAGCGGAGAAAUUCCAAACGAACUUGGAGAUAGCUGGUUCUCUCCGAAAUAGCUUUAGGGCUAGCGUCGAUGUUAAGUCUCUUGGAGGUAGAGCACUGUUUGGGUGAGGGGUCCAUCCCGGAUUACCAAUCUCAGAUAAACUCCGAAUGCCAAUGAGAUAUAAUCGGCAGUCAGACUGCGAGUGCUAAGAUCCGUAGUCGAAAGGGAAACAGCCCAGACCACCAGCUAAGGUCCCAAAAUAUAUGUUAAGUGGAAAAGGAUGUGGGGUUGCACAGACAACUAGGAUGUUAGCUUAGAAGCAGCUAUUCAUUCAAAGAGUGCGUAAUAGCUCACUAGUCGAGUGACCCUGCGCCGAAAAUGUACCGGGGCUAAAACAUAUUACCGAAGCUGUGGAUACCUUUAUAGGUAUGGUAGGAGAGCGUUCUAUGUGCGAAGAAGGUGUACCGUGAGGAGUGCUGGAGCGCAUAGAAGUGAGAAUGCCGGUAUGAGUAGCGAAAGACAGGUGAGAAUCCUGUCCACCGUAAGACUAAGGUUUCCAGGGGAAGGCUCGUCCGCCCUGGGUUAGUCGGGACCUAAGGAGAGACCGAAAGGUGUAUCCGAUGGACAACAGGUUGAUAUUCCUGUACUAGAGUAUAUAGUGAUGGAGGGACGCAGUAGGCUAACUAAACCAGACGAUUGGAAGUGUCUGGCCAAGCAGUGAGGUGUGAUAUGAGUCAAAUGCUUAUAUCUUUAACAUUGAGCUGUGAUGGGGAGCGAAGUUUAGUAGCGAAGUUAGUGAUGUCACACUGCCGAGAAAAGCUUCUAGCGUUAAUUAUACUCUACCCGUACCGCAAACCGACACAGGUAGUCGAGGCGAGUAGCCUCAGGUGAGCGAGAGAACUCUCGUUAAGGAACUCGGCAAAAUGGCCCCGUAACUUCGGGAGAAGGGGCGCUGACUGAUGGUCAGCCGCAGUGAAUAGGCCCAAGCAACUGUUUAUCAAAAACACAGCUCUCUGCUAAAUCGUAAGAUGAUGUAUAGGGGGUGACGCCUGCCCGGUGCUGGAAGGUUAAGAGGAGUGCUUAGCGUAAGCGAAGGCAUGAAUUGAAGCCCCAGUAAACGGCGGCCGUAACUAUAACGGUCCUAAGGUAGCGAAAUUCCUUGUCGGGUAAGUUCCGACCCGCACGAAAGGCGUAAUGAUUUGGGCACUGUCUCAACGAGAGACUCGGUGAAAUUUUAGUACCUGUGAAGAUGCAGGUUACCCGCGACAGGACGGAAAGACCCCAUGGAGCUUUACUGCAGUUUGAUAUUGAGUAUCUGUACCACAUGUACAGGAUAGGUAGGAGCCUAUGACCUCGGGACGCCAGUUUCGAGUGAGGCGUUGUUGGGAUACUACCCUUGUGUUAUGGCUACUCUAACCCAGAUAGGUUAUCCCUAUCGGAGACAGUGUCUGACGGGCAGUUUGACUGGGGCGGUCGCCUCCUAAAAGGUAACGGAGGCGCCCAAAGGUUCCCUCAGAAUGGUUGGAAAUCAUUCGCAGAGUGUAAAGGUAUAAGGGAGCUUGACUGCGAGAGCUACAACUCGAGCAGGGACGAAAGUCGGGCUUAGUGAUCCGGUGGUUCCGUAUGGAAGGGCCAUCGCUCAACGGAUAAAAGCUACCCUGGGGAUAACAGGCUUAUCUCCCCCAAGAGUUCACAUCGACGGGGAGGUUUGGCACCUCGAUGUCGGCUCGUCGCAUCCUGGGGCUGUAGUCGGUCCCAAGGGUUGGGCUGUUCGCCCAUUAAAGCGGCACGCGAGCUGGGUUCAGAACGUCGUGAGACAGUUCGGUCCCUAUCCGUCGCGGGCGUAGGAAAUUUGAGAGGAUCUGCUCCUAGUACGAGAGGACCAGAGUGGACUUACCGCUGGUGUACCAGUUGUUCUGCCAAGAGCAUCGCUGGGUAGCUAUGUAGGGAAGGGAUAAACGCUGAAAGCAUCUAAGUGUGAAGCCCACCUCAAGAUGAGAUUUCCCAUGAUUUUAUAUCAGUAAGAGCCCUGAGAGAUGAUCAGGUUGAUAGGUUAGAAGUGGAAGUGUGGUGACACAUGUAGCGGACUAAUACUAAUAGCUCGAGGACUUAUCCAA
RNAcentral lists this ribosomal RNA (2898 nucleotides) under Streptococcus thermophilus. RNAcentral describes it as "bacterial LSU rRNA". It matches the Rfam family "Bacterial large subunit ribosomal RNA". Lineage: Bacteria; Bacillati; Bacillota; Bacilli; Lactobacillales; Streptococcaceae. The record is from RNAcentral.